This 254-nucleotide ribosomal RNA is filed under the name uncultured prokaryote. RNAcentral's name for it is "partial 16S ribosomal RNA". It matches the Rfam family "Bacterial small subunit ribosomal RNA", at positions 522 to 774 of the family's 1533-position model. The record is from RNAcentral.
AAUACGUAGGGGGCGAGCGUUGUCCGGAUUUAUUGGGCGUAAAGAGCUCGUAGGCGGUUGGGCAAGUCACGUGUGAAAUCUCCACGCUCAACGUGGAGGCGCCACGUGAGACUGCCCUGACUAGAGUCCGGUAGGGGAGCGUGGAAUUCCCGGUGUAGCGGUGAAAUGCGCAGAGAUCGGGAGGAACACCCGUAGCGAAGGCGGCGCUCUGGGCCGGUACUGACGCUGAGGAGCGAAAGCGUGGGGAGCAAACA